This is a long non-coding RNA of Homo sapiens (human), 3243 nucleotides long. NCBI's taxonomy places the organism in Eukaryota, Metazoa, Chordata, Mammalia, Primates, Hominidae. The record is from Ensembl.
GGCCUGUGGCAGGAGAGCAUGUUGGAGGCAGAAAAAAGCCAGAGAGUGAUGGGGACAGGGACACAAGAGGAGGUGGGAGGCAUGGGCAAGGCUCCGUAGACCAGAGAGUUUGAAUUUUCUCCUUAGAGCCAUGAAAACCCAUGGGAAGGAAUUCAGGAGGGAGUAAUAUUAUCAGAUUAGGUUUUUCUUGACCACCCCCCCGCCGGCUGACUCCCUUCAAAAGGUUCCUCCAGUGCCUGGGUGGAGGAGACCGUGGGAGGGGGCAGGGGCUACAGGGAGACCCACCAGCAAGGGGGCUGACAUGGGGUGCUGGAGAAGAGUUGGGCUCCAAGGGUGGUGGAAGCCAAAAGCCAGGGCUCUGGGGGGACUUGGGGCUGGAUACUCCAAGUCAGGGGACAUAGAGGGCUGUGUAGCUCCCCCCAGCACAUCCCUGAGCCUCUGGAGAAGUCCUUCAUCUCUGGAGUUUCUCUUUCCCUUCCAGUCCAGCCCUUUCUUGUUAUUGUAGGACAGACUCCAUCGAUGACUCAUUCAGGACUUGGGUUUCUUGUUCCAGCAGUCUCCCUUCCCCUGAUUACUUUGGGCUCCUCUGGGCCUGCAGGCCUCGCCCCUCAUCAUCUGGGGAGGCAGCCAAGAACCUUGCUGGCUGGGUGAGCUCUACGGAGGAAGGAGCCGGGACCCUCCUAGCUUCAGGCCCCACCCAUGCUUUCCUGCCUCUGGUUUUGCUCUCCUCUUUCCCCCGCCAGGGGACCCCUGUUCUGCAAGUCCUGCUCCUCCUUCCAGGACCACCUCCCCUGGGAAGCCCUGCUAGGUGGCCCCGCACAAUCUUCUCCACCCUGCUCAGUGGCACCUGUCUUUUUAUUCAACCCCCAGGAGCCCACCUUCUGGUGAGUGAGGCAGGGGUGUAUUGAUGGAACUACAGACACAAAUAUGGUAGGAACCUAGAGGAGGGAACCAAUAACACCCCCUAGAGAUUGGGUCAGAUGAGGUUUCCCAGAGAAAGGGACAUUUACACCUGGGUUUUGAAGGAGGAAUAGAAGUUCAUCAUGGGGAGAAAAAUAAGAAGGCAUUCCAAGCCAAAGAAACAGUGUGUGCAAGUUAUUUCUGUAAUGCAUGAAAGGGGCCCAGUGCAUGUAAAUGUUUGUUGAAUGAAUCAAUGUUUGGGGGAACAUUGAGAAAUUUGGUGUGGCUGCAUCAGAGCUUGCAAACUGUCAGUGGAUAGGCCAAAUCAGGCAAAGAGAAGGUUAAAAAAAAAAGUGAAAAUGGAAUUAAUUCUCAACAUCUAAAAAUUGGGAGGCUUCACAGACACUCCGGAGCUGGGCAGCAUCCUCUGCCUUUAGGCGCAUGCUAUCCAGCUCACCAGAGUCCCCACCUGGCUCAGUUUACUCAUUCAUGCUACUCCUUGGGCCCUGUGGACAUUUGAAUUUGCACCCCUACCUACUUGUUAUACUCCUCAAGGUUCUGGACUGUGAGCUACUCACAGGGCCAGGCACACAGCAGGUGCCUAAUACAUCUUUGUUGGCUAAGUGGAUAGAUGGUGUGAUGAUUUUAAAAUAUGUCCCCAAAUUUCUUAACACUCUGGAGCCCCCUUCAGUGUGGGCUGAACUUAGAGACUCCCCUGUAGACAGCCAAAUGUAGAAGAAGUAAUAGCUUGUGAUUUCAGAAACUAGGUCACAAAAGACACUGUGGCUUCUGCCUGGCUGUUUCUUGGAUUGCUUGCUAUGGGGAAAGCCAGCUGCCAUUUUGUUAGGAUACUCAAACAGCCCUGUGGAAACACCCAGGUGGCGAGGAACUGAGGCUUCUUCUUGCCAAUGGCCGGCACCAACUUGCCAGCCAUGUGAGUGAGUCACCUUGGAAGCAGCUUCUCCAGCCCAGUCUAGCCUUAGAUGAUUGCAGCCCAAGCUGACAGCUUGACUGCAACCUCAUGAGAGACCCUGAGUUACAACCACCCAGUGAGGCUGCUUCCAAACACCUGAUCUACAGAAACUGUGUGAAACAAUAAAUGUUUAUUGUUGUCUCAGAUGCUGAGUUAUGAAAUAAUUUGUUAUGUUACGCAUCAAUAGAUAACUAAUAUGGAUGGAUGGCUGGGUAUCUGGAUGGCUGGAUAGAUUUAUAUAGAGCGCAUUAGGUAAUGGAGGAAGUCCCAUUGGGAAAGAGGGUCAGAGCCUGGAGAGCCAGAAGAAGUUUGUAAUCCCUGGUCAUCUCUAAGCUUUAGGGAGGUUAUUCAGGCAGCCAGAGGAGGAGAGAGUUAGUGAGUUUUGAAGCCAAGAGGUCAUCAGAGGCUAGACCACUCAUCCUGGGGAGACAGCCUGCCCUGUGUCUCCAAAUCCAGCUUCCUCAAGCAGCAGUUCAUACUAGUCCUUCCUACCCUGAGGUCCUGGCUCCAUCAUUCCUCGGCCCCAGCUGGCCCUCAGAAUUGUGGAGGAGGUCAAGACUUCAGCAUUUUUCAGAAGCCAAGUCAUCCUCCUCACUCAGAGUCUUCUUUGUGUGGAGGAAGCAGUUUCUCGACUGGUGGGGGACUCAGGGCAGGGUCAGUAGCCUUCAGGAACCAGAGGAGGGUAUUGAGAAGCUGGGACCCUCUGUGGAGACCCUGCUGGCCCCAAAGGCAUGGUGGAGAGCCACAGCCACCAAACAUCCAUAGGAUUAGGUCAGCCCUAAGAUCCAGUAUAUUGGUAUUGUUUGAAAUGACCCAACACAUGUCCUCGGGAAACAUAUGUACAAUGGGCCUGGCACAUAUGAGAAUUUUUUAAGUAAAUCAAAACUGCACUGAAAUGCCAUUUUUCAUCUAUCACAUUGGCAAAAUUUCAAAAGCUUGACAAUACCUGCUGGUGAGGCUUUGAGCAAAUAGCUACUCUUAUAAAUUGUCAAUAAUGCCUGUUGGCAAUAAAACUUCUAGGAAGGAAUUUGUAAUAUAGAACAAAACAGGAUAUGCAUUUACUCUUUGAUCCAGGAUAUUUACUUCUAGGAUUUAUCCUAAAGAUAUAAUUCCACAAAUAUGAAAAAUGUGUAUGCAAGGUUAUUUAUUGAGGAAUUAUUUAUAAUACAAAAUGUUGAAAAUACACAAAUGCCCAUCUGUAGAAAACUGGAUGAAUAAACUAUGGUACCACAUGAGAGAAUGUUAUGCAGCCAUGAAGGCAAGAAGGAAGAUCUCUGUAAACCUACAGGGAGUGAUUUCCAGCAUAUAUUGUUAAACAACAAAAUAAGGUAAAAGCAAAAUAAAGGACUACCUAUACUAUGCAAACUUUU